Molecule: ribosomal RNA, 252 nt
Filed under: uncultured bacterium
Lineage: Bacteria
Description: partial 16S ribosomal RNA
Rfam family: Bacterial small subunit ribosomal RNA
Source: RNAcentral
UACGGAGGAUGCGAGCGUUAUCCGGAUUUAUUGGGUUUAAAGGGUGCGUAGGCGGACUGUCAAGUCAGCGGUAAAAUUGAGAGGCUCAACCUCUUCCCGCCGUUGAAACUGGUGGUCUUGAGUGGAAGAGAAGUACGCGGAAUGCGUGGUGUAGCGGUGAAAUGCAUAGAUAUCACGCAGUACUCCGAUUGCGAAGGCAGCGUACCGGCAUCCAACUGACGCUGAGGCACGAAAGCGUGGGGAUCAAACAGG